CAUGGCUUUUUCAAUCAAUUCUGCCAGCUCUGUGUAAUGUGAGUCCAGUAGUGCCACCAAGAUGGAGUUUGAAUUGAUCUGAGCCGUUGGUGACGAAGAAGAAGAUGAUGAUGGCGAUGGUGAUGAAAAUGUAGUUGGGGUAUUGGAGAAGAAGAAAAUGAGGAUGAUGAAGAAGGUGCCAUGGAUGUAACAAUCCAUGGCGAAAAUCAAAGGAAUGCAAAAAAAAAUCUUGUUUUACUUGUAUUGUAGGAGAAGUGGGUAAAUCAAUGGAGGUGUCGGUUGCACUGUUGAGAAUUUGCCACGUGGCGGGUCAUGAUUGAACAGGGAGGGAGGGCUCGUGUGAAGAAAGAAAGAAGUGGAAAGGUGGGGUCCAGUACCCAACUGCUACCUGGCUUCAGCUGCUACUUACAGGUUGUGAGUAAAAUGGAGGUAUAAAUAAACCAACUUUCAUUACCUAAUAAUGCCAUUGUUUUCUACUAAUUCGUCAUUGGGAUAUCGUUCCACUUUACCCUCAUUUAUUAUCAAUUGGUGAAUUAUAUGGUGAAGAUGUAAGUUUAUA
Molecule: long non-coding RNA, 559 nt
Organism: Arachis stenosperma
Lineage: Eukaryota; Viridiplantae; Streptophyta; Magnoliopsida; Fabales; Fabaceae
Exons: 2
Source: RefSeq, a predicted model, not a curated record